Molecule: non-coding RNA, 46 nt
Organism: Megaselia scalaris
Lineage: Eukaryota; Metazoa; Arthropoda; Insecta; Diptera; Phoridae
Source: Rfam
UAACCGGUUCUUUUAAGAACCACAAAUUAUUUUUGAAAAGUUGUUU